RNAcentral lists this ribosomal RNA (253 nucleotides) under uncultured bacterium. RNAcentral describes it as "partial 16S ribosomal RNA". It matches the Rfam family "Bacterial small subunit ribosomal RNA", at positions 524 to 776 of the family's 1533-position model. The record is from RNAcentral.
UACGUAGGGGGCUAGCGUUGUCCGGAUUUAUUGGGCGUAAAGAGCGUGUAGGCGGCCAGGUAGGUCUGCUGUGAAAACUCGAGGCUUAACCUCGAGAUGUCAUCGGAAACUAUUCGGCUAGAGUCCGGAAGAGGAGAGUGGAAUUCCUGGUGUAGCGGUGAAAUGCGCAGAUAUCAGGAAGAACACCUAUGGCGAAAGCAGCUCUCUGGGACGGUACUGACGCUGAGACGCGAAAGCGUGGGGAGCGAACAGG